AAAGUACUCCCUCCGUACGAAAAUUUUCUUAUCUUAGAUUUUUCUAGAUACGGAUGUAUCAAGUCAUAUUUUAGUAUUAGAUACAUCCGUAUCUAGACAAAUCUAAGACAAGAAAUUUGGGACAAAGGGAGUAGUUG
Molecule: non-coding RNA, 137 nt
Organism: Triticum aestivum (bread wheat)
Lineage: Eukaryota; Viridiplantae; Streptophyta; Magnoliopsida; Poales; Poaceae
Source: Rfam